GAUGAACGCUGGCGGCGUGCUUAACACAUGCAAGUCGAACGGAAAGGCCCUGCUUUUGUGGGGUGCUCGAGUGGCGAACGGGUGAGUAACACGUGAGUAACCUGCCCUUGUCUUUGGGAUAACUUCAGGAAACUGGGGCUAAUACCGGAUAUGAGCUCCCGCUGCAUGGUGGGGGUUGGAAAGUUUCGGCGGUUGGGGAUGGACUCGCGGCUUAUGAGCUUUUUGGUGGGGUAGUGGCUUACCAAGGCUUUGACGGGUAGCCGGCCUGAGAGGGUGAACGGCCACAUUGGGACUGAGAUACGGACCAGACGCCUACGGGAGGCAGCAGUGGGGAAUAUUGCACAGUGGGCGGAAGCCUGAUGCAGCAACGCCGCGUGCGGGAUGACGGCCUUCGGGUUGUAAACCGCUUUCGCCUGUGACGAAGCGUGAGUGACGGUAAUGGGUAAAGAAGCACCGGCUAACUACGUG
This 468-nucleotide ribosomal RNA is filed under the name uncultured bacterium. Its description in RNAcentral is "partial 16S ribosomal RNA". It matches the Rfam family "Bacterial small subunit ribosomal RNA", at positions 28 to 507 of the family's 1533-position model. The record is from RNAcentral.